UCCUACGGGGCGCAGCAGAUCGGAAUAUUCGUCAAUGGGGGAAACCCUGAACGAGCAAUGCCGCGUGAGUGAUGAAGGUCAUAUUGAUCGUAAAACUCUGUUGUAGAGAAAGAAACCUUACCAUAGGAAAUGAUGGUAAGCUGACGGUACUCUACCAGAAAGCCCCGGCUAACUACGUGCCAGCAGCCGCGGUAAUACGUAGGGGGCAAGCGUUAUCCGGAUUUAUUGGGCGUCAAGCGUGUGUAGGCGGUUUAUUAAGUCUAAGAUCAAAGCCCGAGGCUUAACCUCGGUUCGUUUUAGAAACU
This 305-nucleotide ribosomal RNA is filed under the name uncultured bacterium. RNAcentral describes it as "bacterial SSU rRNA". It matches the Rfam family "Bacterial small subunit ribosomal RNA", at positions 337 to 634 of the family's 1533-position model. The record is from RNAcentral.